GACGUAGGGGGCCAGCGUUGUUCGGAAUUACUGGGUGUAAAGGGUUCGUAGGCGGUGUGGCAAGUCGGGAGUGAAAUCUCUGGGCUCAACCCAGAGGCUGCUUCCGAAACUGCUGUGCUUGAGUGUGGGAGAGGCGCGUGGAAUUGCAGGUGUAGCGGUGAAAUGCGUAGAUAUCUGGAGGAAUACCGGUGGCGAAGGCGGCAUCCUGGACCGACAUUGACGCUGAGGAGCGAAAGCUAGGGGAGCAAACGGG
RNAcentral lists this ribosomal RNA (253 nucleotides) under uncultured bacterium. RNAcentral's name for it is "partial 16S ribosomal RNA". It matches the Rfam family "Bacterial small subunit ribosomal RNA", at positions 524 to 776 of the family's 1533-position model. The record is from RNAcentral.